UACGGAGGGUGCGAGCGUUGUCCGGAAUCAUUGGGCGUAAAGGGCGCGUAGGUGGCCCGGUCAGUUCGUGGUGAAAGCGCGGGGCUCAACCCUGCGUCGGCCAUGAAUACUGCCGCGGCUGGAGCACUGUAGAGGCAGGCGGAAUUCCGGGUGUAGCGGUGGAAUGUGUAGAGAUCCGGAAGAACACCGGUGGCGAAGGCGGCCUGCUGGGCUAUGGCUGACACUGAGGCGCGACAGCGUGGGGAGCAAACAGG
Molecule: ribosomal RNA, 254 nt
Filed under: uncultured bacterium
Lineage: Bacteria
Description: partial 16S ribosomal RNA
Rfam family: Bacterial small subunit ribosomal RNA
Source: RNAcentral